This 1052-nucleotide ribosomal RNA is filed under the name Parastagonospora avenae. RNAcentral's name for it is "SSU rRNA". It matches the Rfam family "Eukaryotic small subunit ribosomal RNA", at positions 87 to 1149 of the family's 1831-position model. The record is from RNAcentral. Lineage: Eukaryota; Fungi; Ascomycota; Dothideomycetes; Pleosporales; Phaeosphaeriaceae.
CUGCGAAUGGCUCAUUAAAUCAGUUAUCGUUUAUUUGAUAGUACCUUACUACUUGGAUAACCGUGGUAAUUCUAGAGCUAAUACAUGCUGAAAACCCCAACUUCGGGAGGGGUGUAUUUAUUAGAUAAAAAACCAACGCCCUUCGGGGCUUCUUGGUGAUUCAUGAUAACUUUACGGAUCGCAUGGCCUUGCGCCGGCGACGGUUCAUUCAAAUUUCUGCCCUAUCAACUUUCGAUGGUAAGGUAUUGGCUUACCAUGGUUUCAACGGGUAACGGGGAAUUAGGGUUCGAUUCCGGAGAGGGAGCCUGAGAAACGGCUACCACAUCCAAGGAAGGCAGCAGGCGCGCAAAUUACCCAAUCCCGACACGGGGAGGUAGUGACAAUAAAUACUGAUACAGGGCUCUUUUGGGUCUUGUAAUUGGAAUGAGUACAAUUUAAACCUCUUAACGAGGAACAAUUGGAGGGCAAGUCUGGUGCCAGCAGCCGCGGUAAUUCCAGCUCCAAUAGCGUAUAUUAAAGUUGUUGCAGUUAAAAAGCUCGUAGUUGAACCUUGGGUCUGGCUGGCAGGUCCGCCUCACCGCGUGUACUUGUCCGGCCGGGCCUUCCUUCUGGAGAACCUCAUGCCCUUCACUGGGCGUGUUGGGGACCAGGACUUUUACUUUGAAAAAAUUAGAGUGUUCAAAGCAGGCCUUUGCUCGAAUACGUUAGCAUGGAAUAAUAGAAUAGGACGUGCGGUCCUAUUUUGUUGGUUUCUAGGACCGCCGUAAUGAUUAAUAGGGACAGUCGGGGGCAUCAGUAUUCAAUUGUCAGAGGUGAAAUUCUUGGAUUUAUUGAAGACUAACUACUGCGAAAGCAUUUGCCAAGGAUGUUUUCAUUAAUCAGUGAACGAAAGUUAGGGGAUCGAAGACGAUCAGAUACCGUCGUAGUCUUAACCGUAAACUAUGCCGACUAGGGAUCGGGCGAUGUUCUUUUUCUGACUCGCUCGGCACCUUACGAGAAAUCAAAGUUUUUGGGUUCUGGGGGGAGUAUGGUCGCAAGGCUGAAACUUAAGG